GGAUUAGAUACCCCACUAUGCUUAGUAGUAAACCCAGGCAACCGCACCCAACCCCCUUGCCCGCCAGAAGACUACAAGUGAUAAGCUUGAAACUCAAAAGACUUGACGGUGCCCCACAUCACCCUAGAGGAGCCUGUCCUAUAAUCGAUGACCCCCGUUUUACCUCACCUGCCCUAGAACACAAACUUCAGCCUAUAUACCGCCGCCUUCAGCCCACCUUAUGAAAGAACCUAAGUGAGCCCAAUAGCCCCCACUAAAACGCCAGGUCAAGGUGUAGCUUACGCGCAGGAAGAGAUGGGCUACAUUAUCUACCCAAGAACAUCACCACCAGCGCCAUGAAACGGGCGCCAAAAGGCGGAUUUAGCAGUAAACCGAGCAAGCCUGCCCGCUUGAACCCUGCCCUGGAGCACGUACACACCGCCCGUCAC
RNAcentral lists this ribosomal RNA (428 nucleotides) under Hemidactylus brookii. Its description in RNAcentral is "partial 12S ribosomal RNA". It matches the Rfam family "Bacterial small subunit ribosomal RNA", at positions 775 to 1400 of the family's 1533-position model. Lineage: Eukaryota; Metazoa; Chordata; Lepidosauria; Squamata; Gekkonidae. The record is from RNAcentral.